AGCUCCAAUAGCGUAUAUUAAAGUUGUUGCAGUUAAAAAGCUCGUAGUUGAACUUUGGGCCUGGGCGGGCGGUCUACCUAUGGUGAGUACUGCUUCGGCCGGGUCUUUCCUUCUGGCUAGCCAUUUGGCGAACCAGGACGAUUACUUUGAGGAAAUUAGAGUGUUCAAAGCAGGCCUUUGCUCGGAUAUAUUAGCAUGGAAUAAUAGAAUAGGACGUAUGGUUCUAUUUUGUUGGUUUCUAGGACCAUCGUAAUGAUUAAUAGGGACGGUCGGGGGCAUCAGUAUUCAGUUGUCAGAGGUGAAAUUCUUGGAUUAACUGAAGACUAACUACUGCGAAAGCAUUUGCCAAGGACGUUUUCA
Molecule: ribosomal RNA, 360 nt
Filed under: uncultured eukaryote
Lineage: Eukaryota
Description: SSU rRNA
Rfam family: Eukaryotic small subunit ribosomal RNA
Source: RNAcentral